This 253-nucleotide ribosomal RNA is filed under the name uncultured prokaryote. Its description in RNAcentral is "partial 16S ribosomal RNA". It matches the Rfam family "Bacterial small subunit ribosomal RNA", at positions 525 to 777 of the family's 1533-position model. The record is from RNAcentral.
ACGUAGGGUGCGAGCGUUAAUCGGAAUUACUGGGCGUAAAGCGUGCGCAGGCGGUUUGUUAAGCCAGAUGUGAAAGCCCCGGGCUCAACCUGGGAACUGCGUUUGGGACUGGCAGGCUGGAGUGCGGCAGAGGGGGGUGGAAUUCCACGUGUAGCGGUGAAAUGCGUAGAUAUGCGGAGGAACACCGAUGGCGAAGGCAAUCCCCUGGGCCUGCACUGACGCUCAUGCACGAAAGCGUGGGGAGCAAACAGGA